CCUACGGGAGGCAGCAGUGAGGAAUAUUGGACAAUGGGCGCAAGCCUGAUCCAGCCAUGCCGCGUGCAGGAAGAAGCAUCUAUGGUGUGUAAACUGCUUUUGUACGGGAAGAAACACCUCUACGUGUAGAGGCUUGACGGUACCGUAAGAAUAAGGAUCGGCUAACUCCGUGCCAGCAGCCGCGGUAAUACGGAGGAUCCAAGCGUUAUCCGGAAUCAUUGGGUUUAAAGGGUCCGUAGGCGGUUUAGUAAGUCAGUGGUGAAAGCCCAUCGCUCAACGAUGGAACGGCCAUUGAUACUGUUAGACUUGAAUUAUUAGGAAGUAACUAGAAUAUGUAGUGUAGCGGUGAAAUGCUUAGAUAUUACAUGGAAUACCAAUUGCGAAGGCAGGUUACUACUAAUGGAUUGACGCUGAUGGACGAAAGCGUGGGGAGCGAACAGGAUUAGAUACCCUGGUAGUCCACGCCGUAAACGNUGGAUACUAGCUGUUCGGAGNAUCUNGUGUGUAGAGAAGUAGAUAAGUAUACCACCGUCGGUAGGUACGUUCGUCGAGAAGUAGAACGUACGAAGAAGUUAGUACGGCGUGAGACGUAGACGACGACGACGACGAGGGAGGAGG
This 618-nucleotide ribosomal RNA is filed under the name uncultured bacterium. Its description in RNAcentral is "bacterial SSU rRNA". The stretch from base 1 to 530 matches the Rfam family "Bacterial small subunit ribosomal RNA", at positions 338 to 873 of the family's 1533-position model. The record is from RNAcentral.